GGUAGGUGUCGCCAAGUGGUAAGGCAAUGGUUUGUGGCGCCAUUAGUCGUGGGUUCAAUUCCCAUCAUCUACC
RNAcentral lists this transfer RNA (73 nucleotides) under Ostreobium sp. HV05042. Its description in RNAcentral is "tRNA-His". It matches the Rfam family "tRNA". From Rfam's summary of the family: Transfer RNA (tRNA) molecules are approximately 80 nucleotides in length. Their secondary structure includes four short double-helical elements and three loops (D, anti-codon, and T loops). Further hydrogen bonds mediate the characteristic L-shaped molecular structure. tRNAs have two regions of fundamental functional importance: the anti-codon, which is responsible for specific mRNA codon recognition, and the 3' end, to which the tRNAs corresponding amino acid is attached (by aminoacyl-tRNA synthetases). tRNAs cope with the degeneracy of the genetic code in two manners: having more than one tRNA (with a specific anti-codon) for a particular amino acid; and 'wobble' base-pairing, i.e. permitting non-standard base-pairing at the 3rd anti-codon position. RNAcentral also lists the same sequence under 1 other name. Lineage: Eukaryota; Viridiplantae; Chlorophyta; Ulvophyceae; Bryopsidales; Ostreobiaceae. The record is from RNAcentral.